RNAcentral lists this RNase P RNA (353 nucleotides) under Bacteroidales bacterium. RNAcentral describes it as "RNase P RNA component class A". It matches the Rfam family "Bacterial RNase P class A". From Rfam's summary of the family: Ribonuclease P (RNase P) is a ubiquitous endoribonuclease, found in archaea, bacteria and eukarya as well as chloroplasts and mitochondria. Its best characterised activity is the generation of mature 5'-ends of tRNAs by cleaving the 5'-leader elements of precursor-tRNAs. Cellular RNase Ps are ribonucleoproteins. Lineage: Bacteria; Pseudomonadati; Bacteroidota; Bacteroidia; Bacteroidales. The record is from RNAcentral.
ACAGCAGGCUGGUCUGUCGCUGUCCCGAAUGUUCGGGAAAGAGGAAAGUCCGGGCAACAUAGAGCGCCACACUUCUUAACGGGAAGCGUCCGCGAGGAUAGAGUAGUGUGACAGAAAAUAACCGCUCCUUUGGAGUAAGGGUGAAAAUGUGCGGUAAGAGCGCACGCGGCUGGGUGGCGACAUUCAGUCGGCACACCUUGUGGGUUGCAAGGCCAAGUAUACCGGCAUGGGGUUGCUCGCUCCGUUAUGCCGGGGGGUAGGCUGCUCGAGGCUGCCGGUGACGGCAGUCCUAGAUAAAUGACAGGCACUUUCGGUUGAAAGUACAGAACUCGGCUUAUAGGCUUGCUGUUUUU